This 219-nucleotide long non-coding RNA is filed under the name Gossypium barbadense (sea-island cotton). Its description in RNAcentral is "long non-coding RNA (GBAR_LNC009129)". The record is from RNAcentral. Lineage: Eukaryota; Viridiplantae; Streptophyta; Magnoliopsida; Malvales; Malvaceae.
CUUGGUUCCAUGAAUUAGGCAUUUGAAAUUUAUCCAACCACCUAGCAGCCUUAUCCACCGUUUGACCGCUUCAGCCUGCAGCCUGGGAAGAGUUUCGGUCAAACUCUCCCCCACGUGAGCAGCGAAAGUCCAAACCUUCCGUGCGCGAGGUGAGGCUCGAACCCUAGACCUCCGUCUGCCCUUGUGUCUUCGCCCGUGCUGCUGGCCACUGCACCCUGC